Molecule: ribosomal RNA, 253 nt
Filed under: uncultured bacterium
Lineage: Bacteria
Description: partial 16S ribosomal RNA
Rfam family: Bacterial small subunit ribosomal RNA
Source: RNAcentral
UACGGAGGGUGCAAGCGUUAUCCGGAAUCACUGGGUUUAAAGGGUGCGUAGGUGGUCAGAUAAGUCAGAGGUGAAAGCCCGGCGCUCAACGUCGGAAUUGCCUUUGAUACUGUUUGACUUGAAUUAGGUUGAGGUGGGCGGAAUGUGGCAUGUAGCGGUGAAAUGCAUAGAUAUGCCAUAGAACACCAAUUGCGAAGGCAGCUCACUGGCCCUAAAUUGACACUGAGGCACGAAAGCGUGGGGAGCGAACAGG